AUUGAACGCUGGCGGCAUGCCUUACACAUGCAAGUCGAACGGCAGCAUGGAGAGCUUGCUCUCUGAUGGCGAGUGGCGAACGGGUGAGUACUGCAUCGGAACGUACCGUGUAAUGGGGGAUAACGUAGCGAAAGUUACGCUAAUACCGCAUACGACCUGAGGGUGAAAGCAGGGGCUCGCAAGACCUUGCGUUAUCCGAGCGGCCGAUGUCAGAUUAGCUAGUUGGUGAGGUAAAGGCUCACCAAGGCGACGAUCUGUAGCGGGUCUGAGAGGAUGAUCCACCACACUGGGACUGAGACACGGCCCAGACUCCUACGGGAGGCAGCAGUGGGGAAUUUUGGACAAUGGGGGCAACCCUGAUCCAGCCAUGCCGCGUGAGUGAAGAAGGCCUUCGGGUUGUAAAGCUCUUUCGGCCGGGAAGAAAUCGCACAGGCUAAUACUCUGUGUGGAUGACGGUACCGGCAUAAGAAGCACCGGCUAACUACGUGCCAGCCGCCGCAGUAA
This 504-nucleotide ribosomal RNA is filed under the name uncultured bacterium. RNAcentral's name for it is "partial 16S ribosomal RNA". It matches the Rfam family "Bacterial small subunit ribosomal RNA", at positions 30 to 523 of the family's 1533-position model. The record is from RNAcentral.